This is a long non-coding RNA of Alosa alosa (allis shad), 437 nucleotides long. RefSeq lists it as uncharacterized. The record is from RefSeq and is a predicted model, not a curated record. Lineage: Eukaryota; Metazoa; Chordata; Actinopteri; Clupeiformes; Clupeidae. The transcript has 3 exons.
AACAGCCAGAAAGAGAAAAGUGAAUCUGGAAUACGUUGCUCAGAUCACACUGAAAAAUGAUAAGAUAUCAACACUUUAAGAGGUCACAGGCCACAACCAAAAUGAACAGCACCGUAGCCAAACGCAUUUCAUUGAAAAGAGGAGCAUCCCCUGCACCAAGUCAUGUGUUCAUGAAGAGUGAUCACUCAAUGGAUCCAGCAGGAAACUUCCUGGGUGGGACUACAGCACACAGGUACACUCACAUGUGUCCAUGAAGAGUGAUCACUCAAUGGAUCCAGCAGGAAACUUCCUGGGUGGGACUACAGCACACAGGUACACUCACAUGUGUCCAUGAAGAGUGAUCACUCAAUGGAUCCAGCAGGAAUGUUUUCUUUCUGUUUGUUUCUUUCUACAUAUUGCUAUGGAAUUAGUUUUGUAUUCAAAGUGCACACCUAUGU